UGUGUACUCCCUCCGUUCCAAAAUACUUGACUUCCAUUUGUCCAAAAAUGGAUGUACCUAUAUACUAAAACAUGUCUAGAUACAUAUAUAUUUUGACAAAUAGAAGGCAUGUAUUGUGUAACGGAGGGAGUAGAAU
Non-coding RNA from Triticum aestivum (bread wheat), 136 nucleotides. Lineage: Eukaryota; Viridiplantae; Streptophyta; Magnoliopsida; Poales; Poaceae. The record is from Rfam.